CACGUAGGAUCCAAGCGUUAUCCUGAUUUACUGGGCGUAAAGCGCGUGUAGGUGGUUUGUUAAGUUGGGUGUUAAAUCUCUCGGCUCAACUGAGAGAUGUCGCUCAAAACUAGCAGACUGGAGGACGGUAGAGGAAGGUGGAAUUCCGGGUGUAGUGGUGAAAUGCGUAGAUAUCCGGAGGAACACCAGUGGCGAAGGCGGCCUUCUGGACCGCUCCUGACACUCAAACGCGAAAGCUAGGGGAGCAAACGGGAUUAGAAACCCUAGUAGU
This 271-nucleotide ribosomal RNA is filed under the name uncultured bacterium. RNAcentral's name for it is "partial 16S ribosomal RNA". It matches the Rfam family "Bacterial small subunit ribosomal RNA", at positions 524 to 794 of the family's 1533-position model. The record is from RNAcentral.